UUAAUUUAAGAUCGUAGCUAGCAUCAUUUGUACAGAACACAUGAGAGAAAUUUGCACCUUGCAAAUAAUACAUAACAAUAGCACUCACUCAAAAGUAGCUGGCUUUAAAGGAUGAAAACAACAAAGCAAAUAUGAGUAGAGCACUAACAAUUUUUAAAGCUAAAAUAACAGCAAAAUAUAGUGCACUAACGUACUCACAACACCCGC
This 207-nucleotide long non-coding RNA is filed under the name Citrus sinensis (sweet orange). RNAcentral's name for it is "long non-coding RNA (CSIN_LNC004615)". The record is from RNAcentral. Lineage: Eukaryota; Viridiplantae; Streptophyta; Magnoliopsida; Sapindales; Rutaceae.